ACACGUAGGGGGCGAGCGUUGUUCGGAAUCAUUGGGCGUAAAAGGCGCGCAGGCGGCGAGGCAAGUCCGGUGUGAAAGUGCUCGGCUCAACCGAGUGAUGCGCUGGAAACUGCCCUGCUUGAGUACAGGAGGGGACGUCGGAAUUCCAGGUGUAGGGGUGAAAUCUGUAGAUAUCUGGAAGAACACCGGUGGCGAAGGCGGACGUCUGGCCAUGGACGGACGCGGAGGCGCGAAGGUGCGGGGAGCGAACAGGUGUAGAUUCCCUGGUAGUCCGCACAGUAAAGGAUGUGCACCAGGUGGGGGGUGGUAGCCCUCGGUGCCGAAGCCAACGCAUUAAGUGCACCGCCUGGGGAGUAUGCUCGCAAGGUUGAAACUCAAAGGAAUUGACGGGG
Molecule: ribosomal RNA, 392 nt
Filed under: uncultured bacterium
Lineage: Bacteria
Description: partial 16S ribosomal RNA
Rfam family: Bacterial small subunit ribosomal RNA
Source: RNAcentral